GCUGGGCAUGGUGGUGCAUGCCUGUAAUCCCAGCUACUCAGGAGGCUGAGACAGGAGAAUCACUUGAACCCAGGAGGCGGAGGUUGCCGUGAGCCAAGAUGGUGGCCCUGUAUUCCAGCCUGGGCAACAGAGUGAGACUCUGUCUCAG
Molecule: unclassified non-coding RNA, 148 nt
Organism: Macaca fascicularis (crab-eating macaque)
Lineage: Eukaryota; Metazoa; Chordata; Mammalia; Primates; Cercopithecidae
Rfam family: Metazoan signal recognition particle RNA
About the family: The signal recognition particle (SRP) is a universally conserved ribonucleoprotein. It is involved in the co-translational targeting of proteins to membranes.
Source: Ensembl